This 250-nucleotide ribosomal RNA is filed under the name uncultured Chroococcidiopsis sp. Its description in RNAcentral is "partial 16S ribosomal RNA". It matches the Rfam family "Bacterial small subunit ribosomal RNA", at positions 796 to 1044 of the family's 1533-position model. Lineage: Bacteria; Bacillati; Cyanobacteriota; Cyanophyceae; Chroococcidiopsidales; Chroococcidiopsidaceae. The record is from RNAcentral.
CUAGCUGUAAACGAUGGAUACUAGGCGUUGAGAGUAUCGACCCUCUCAGUGUCGUAGCUAACGCGCUAAGUAUCCCGCCUGGGGAGUACGCGCGCAAGCGUGAAACUCAAAGGAAUUGACGGGGGCCCGCACAAGCGGUGGAGUAUGUGGUUUAAUUCGAUGCAACGCGAAGAACCUUACCAGGGCUUGACAUGUCCGGAACCCUGCCCAAAGGCGGGGGUGCCUACGGGAACCGGAACACAGGUGGUGC